GGAAACUAUUUUAACAAGCUCACUAGGUGGUUCUUAUGAAUGUUAGAGUUUGCGAACCACAGUUCUCACCCAGGUGGAGUUUAGCUCCCUUUACAGGAAGUUUCGUGUGAAACUUAGCUUCCUUUGGGCUGUUCCUGCCUGAGAAAUAUGGUAGGAGCAGCAAGAAAUUUUCCCAGCCACUAAUGCCUAAAGUAUUUGUUCACUGAAGCUCUGCAUGUUUUAAGUGAUGGAAAGACUCAUCUAAUCCCCAUGUUGGGUGCACCUGCUUAGAUCUGUAAGUUCCAAAAGUCUGUACAGCCUGUGUAUGCUGAGGUUGCAGAGGUGUGGGGUUGCUGAGGGCCUGUGACAUGGGUCUCAUUAAACUGCUGUAUCUUAAAGCAGUCAAGGACCUAGAAACCCUGUGCUUACUAAGGUGCUGACGCCUCCUAUCCCAGCCACACCUGAAGCGCCCUUUUCUCUGGAUGUAUCUUAAAUCUUCAAAGCCCUAUCUUUGUGCCUGUUCCUUAAGCUUUCCUGGUUUGUGGACCGUGUGUGGUGGCUGGGGGUGAGGAGGAAACAAAUCAAACCCCCCUCCUCUGAGUUCAGAACCAACAGAGAAGUAGGAUCAGGACAUCACUAGGGAUCAAUGCAUCAAUUUUACUGCUGAUAAAGUUGAAUUGGAAAAUGCAGCUGGGAAUCCAGCCACCGUGGAGCUUCCUCACACCUUCCUCCGGGAUUGAACCUCCCCACCCUAAAUGCCGGCUUCCUGCUCUGCCGGGGAGGUUGCCAGAUGCUGCGUUGUCACUAGAGCUAGUGCAGCCUUUCCCCAACCUCCCAAUCAGCUCGUUUACUUGGUCUUUGGCGAAGAAGACCUAGGAGAGGUGCUUUGGUACCAUACCUUCCUGAGUGGGUGUGAGGAUGGAGGAAUAAGUUUUUCUCCGGCUGUGGGAACAACAUUUGAGGUUAUUGACAUCAAAGAAAGAGUCUAGAAUGGGAAGAGGGGAAAGUCAGGACUAAGGCUUGAGGAAGGCUCACCGUAAAUGUGGUUUCAAGGAGGAAGCCCCAGCCAAAGAAACUGAGAGGAGAGACCAGAGAAAGGAGGAGGACCAGGAGCCUGUGGUGUCAGAGGCUGGGUGAAGAGCAUUUUCAGGAGGAAGCUGACUAGGUCUUGUACUGGACAUAGAGGACACACGAUCACUUCAAAGAGACAUAACAGGCCAGCACUGCUCCAGGUGCAGGAGAAAUUGGAAUGAACUGAAAUGACAAAAACCCUGCCCCCAUGCCCUGUACACUCUACUGGGGAAAACAAGCAAUAAACAAGGUGAUUCUGAUGCAUCCUAAAAUUGGAGAACCGCUGCUCUAAAGAAUAGCACGAAACCAAUUUGGCCAACCCUCAAGCAAUCCAUUCUGGUGUUUUGUUUGCCCUGUGAUGCAGAACUCAGGCCUCUAUGGACCGCUUGUCCAGAUCUAAAGGUGUUUCCUGAGGGCCGAAUUGGCCUCGUAUGCAGGUUCCUCUGCAGACCACAGCAACGCACAGAAGAUGUGGCACUGCCUCCUGGCACGCACACAGGGCCGGCUCCCCCAGCUACACAUCAAACACCAACUCUGCUGCCCAUGCCGGAUGCCAAGUGAGAUAAUAUGUCCUUGCCUCCUGCUUUCCUGAGAUGAGUAACAAAAUAAUCCUAGCUGCUAUCAUUCAUGCGGUAGCCACAAGCUCUAAGCUGGUGCAGAAUAUACUCUUCAUCUGCAAAGUGAGUACUAACAAUAACCCUGCUUUGCAGAUGAUGAAACCAGAGCUUUAAAGAAGCCUCUAACCUAUUACAACUCAUGGUACAGGCAUUUGGUCCCGGGACUACCCAUCUCCAGUAUGAAAUCCCUGUAUUUCUCUCUUUUCCUCUGAAAAUCUGUCUCUGUCUUGAUCCCUGGUCUUGGAGGAAGAAAAGUUCUUUCAAUGCAAAGUUUCCUCCUCCAUCUUGAGCUUGGUUUCCUCCUGUCUCCCACUGCACCUCCCUACAUUAACUGUCCCCUCCCUCUCUCAUAUAGAUCAGCCUCUCCUCCCCACUGCCUCUUCCCUACAAAUGCAUUUGGUCUGCCCGCCUUCACCAAUCACUCCUGCUUCAUCUGCCUCCUUGCUUCACUGUCAGCUUGUCAAAAGGAAGGGUGUUUCAGUUUGGCCACCUCUUCUGUUCCCUCAUGCACUCCUUGGCUGUCCAGUCACCUACUUGGUGAGCAAAGCCUUGGUCCCUUCCCUGACACUGUGUGUCUUGGGUCCCUUCUCUUCCCUCCUGGGUGGGCACCAUGUCAUCUCCUACCCUUUUGUUUCUCAGUGCCUGGGACAGUGCCCUGAAUAGCAAGGGCGAUGGUGAUGACCUCACAUUCAGAACUGGUCAAAAAUCAAGACAAACACUUCCCAGGGGCAGGGAGCUAGCUGAGGUGGGGCUCCCAGGGAAAUUCCUUUGGGCUGGAGUUCUGUUCAGCAGAAUGACGACACACUAUUGCCAUUUUUAGAGCAGUGAUUACCAAAUGGAAAUACCCUAUUUCACCAGAGACUGAGAUCCGAAGUCACUCGCUUCAUAGCUAAAUGUCAUUUACCUCUUCACUGUAACUGAGGCGCUGAGAAACAAGCACAUGACUACAUGCUAGGGGAUUCAAUUCCUGUUUUUCCUUCCUGUUUGUCCUCUGUUAAAAUAAAAAAAGAAUUACCUAAAAGAAACUUCUUGGUAUUGUUAUCCUGAGAGUGUAUUACUACCACAUAUAUGGAG
This 2741-nucleotide long non-coding RNA is filed under the name Equus asinus (donkey). RNAcentral's name for it is "lncRNA (ENSEASG00005025636.1)". The record is from RNAcentral. Lineage: Eukaryota; Metazoa; Chordata; Mammalia; Perissodactyla; Equidae.